AGAAAGUGACAGAGAGGACAUGUGUCUGGCUUGAAACCAGGAUAUGGGGGUUCGACUCCCUCCUUUCUU
This 69-nucleotide transfer RNA is filed under the name Paradoxophyla palmata (web-foot frog). Its description in RNAcentral is "tRNA-Ser". It matches the Rfam family "tRNA". From Rfam's summary of the family: Transfer RNA (tRNA) molecules are approximately 80 nucleotides in length. Their secondary structure includes four short double-helical elements and three loops (D, anti-codon, and T loops). Further hydrogen bonds mediate the characteristic L-shaped molecular structure. tRNAs have two regions of fundamental functional importance: the anti-codon, which is responsible for specific mRNA codon recognition, and the 3' end, to which the tRNAs corresponding amino acid is attached (by aminoacyl-tRNA synthetases). tRNAs cope with the degeneracy of the genetic code in two manners: having more than one tRNA (with a specific anti-codon) for a particular amino acid; and 'wobble' base-pairing, i.e. permitting non-standard base-pairing at the 3rd anti-codon position. The record is from RNAcentral. Lineage: Eukaryota; Metazoa; Chordata; Amphibia; Anura; Microhylidae.